CACCGCGGUUAUACGGAGGACCCAAGUUGAUAAUCACGGCGUAAAGCGUAGUUAAGAGACACUUCUCAAAUAGGGCCGAAUAAUCUCAAGACAGUAGAAUGUGUUCGAGACCACUAAGCACAGCUAUAAAUAAUGACCCUAACACUUCUGACUCUACGAAAGCUAUAACA
RNAcentral lists this ribosomal RNA (170 nucleotides) under Hymenogadus gracilis (graceful grenadier). RNAcentral describes it as "partial 12S ribosomal RNA". The record is from RNAcentral. Lineage: Eukaryota; Metazoa; Chordata; Actinopteri; Gadiformes; Macrouridae.